UUGCAAGGUUACCAGUUCGGUUUUCAUUGGAGGUUUUUUUUUGAAGAUCAAGGGAAUUAGAGAGAGGAGCUUCAUGCUUCGGGUCGGGGAAGGAAAGACAUAGAAUUUGGAUUUUUCUUCUUCGUAGAGUUUUGGGAAGAUUGAGGCAAUCGCUGCUGAAGUCAGUGUUGUAAUGGUGAAUCGGGAUUUUUAAAUGAAGUGGGUUUGAAUACUCUUGACUGUUUUGUAAAAUCGAGUUACGUCUGUGAUUGAAGGAUUAAAGGGAUGUCUAUAGGAUUGAGUAUGCGGAGUGAAUGAAAUUUAUUGGAUUAAUCUAACAGGACAGUCACUGGAUACAAGAUCGUAAGUACAAAGGGGUAUUGAAGAUUAACAGUUUGGGUUGUUCGGGGUUCUCUGUAACGUCUAGAGACCUAUCGGCUGGGAAAAAAAAAAGACUUCGACAAGCAAUCGAAGAGCAUCCGUAUAGAUUUACGGUACAUUGUUGCAGUGGUUUAUAUUCCAGCAGUCAAAAACUGAUAGACUGCUUGACUAUCGGCAAAUCUCCAUACUACCUUCUACAGCCAGACGCCCAGCGCGUUCUCGAGCAGGAAAGCACAUAAUAUGACACCGGAGUCAAUGAAGAUCCAUCCUGUAUUCCACGUGUCUCUUCUUGAACCAUGUAAGACAGUGGAUAUACAAGGAAGAAGACAAAUGCCACCGCCUCCUAUAGAAGUA
This 714-nucleotide long non-coding RNA is filed under the name Physcomitrium patens. RNAcentral's name for it is "long non-coding RNA (PPAT_LNC012008)". Lineage: Eukaryota; Viridiplantae; Streptophyta; Bryopsida; Funariales; Funariaceae. The record is from RNAcentral.